CUGAGGAGACGGUGACCAGGGUGCCCUGGCCCCAGUAGUCAAAGCCACAGUAAUAGACGGCCGUGUCCUCCACUCUCAGGCUGUUCAUCUGCAGGUA
Molecule: long non-coding RNA, 97 nt
Organism: Dipodomys spectabilis (banner-tailed kangaroo rat)
Lineage: Eukaryota; Metazoa; Chordata; Mammalia; Rodentia; Heteromyidae
Exons: 3
Source: RefSeq, a predicted model, not a curated record